RNAcentral lists this ribosomal RNA (613 nucleotides) under uncultured beta proteobacterium. Its description in RNAcentral is "partial 16S ribosomal RNA". The record is from RNAcentral. Lineage: Bacteria; Pseudomonadati; Pseudomonadota; Betaproteobacteria.
GSGGGUGCUUCUUCUUCCAGUACCGUCAUCCACGCACGUUAUUCACGUACGCGAUUUCGUUCCGGCCGAAAGAGCUUUACAACCCGAAGGCCUUCUUCACUCACGCGGCAUGGCUGGAUCAGGGUUUCCCCCAUUGUCCAAAAUUCCCCACUGCUGCCUCCCGUAGGAGUCUGGGCCGUGUCUCAGUCCCAGUGUGGCUGGUCGUUCUCUCAAACCAGCUACGGAUCGUAGCCUUGGUGGGCUUUUACCCCGCCAACUAGCUAAUCCGGCAUCGGCCGCUCCAUGAGCGCGAGGUUCUUGCGAAUCCCCCGCUUUCUCCCUCAGGACGUAUGCGGUAUUAGCCUCGAUUUCUCGAGGUUGUCCCCCACUCCUGGGUACGCUCCGAUGUAUUACUCACCCGUUCGCCACUCUACUCGCAGGGUUGCCCCCGCUUUCGCGUUCGACUUGCAUGUGUAAGGCAUGCCGCCAGCGUUCAAUCUGAGCCAGGAUCAAACUCUAAUCACUAGUGAAUUCGCGGCCGCCUGCAGGUCGACCAUAUGGGAGAGCUCCCAACGCGUUGGAUGCAUAGCUUGAGUAUUCUAUAGUGUCACCUAAAUAGCUUGGCGUAUCAUGC